CCCACACUCAGUUCGUCUCUGUCCCCUUCCAUCUCCUAUACCAGCGCAGCCGCCGUCGCCGCCGAGCUAGGGUUAAGGUUCAACUGAAGAACUGAUCUCCCUCCCUCAAGAUCUUCACUGAACCCAAUCGCCUCUCUCUCCCUCUUCUGUACCACCGUGGCAGGCGAGUUAGGUGGUGGCUCAUUGUGAGUGUGCAUUGGUGACUCAAUCUACUGCCGCUGUCGUCUGCAUCAACUCAAGGAUCUUGAUAUGUUUGCUUCGUCCUGUAUCCAUGUGUUAAGGUCAUUUUUGUUCUUACAAUUUCGUCCACACCUUUCCCCCAAUCUGUUUAAACCAGUGGCCGGGAGAUGAGCAUGAACAAUUUGUUCUAGUUGACUUAAAAGGCAUGCUUUUGUUGAUUCAGAAUUGGAAUAGUGUCUUGUGAGCACCAAAUUUACAUACGAGCUGCAAGUAUAUUUGUACAAUCUUCAUAUCAAUUACAAGGUAUUUACUCCCUAUUUUCAUGCAGGUUAGUAACCAUGGCUUGCAGAAUGUCGGUGUUCCUUAUAUUCUAUUUGCAAAGCCUCAUAUAUUGGAGGUUCCUAUAAUUGGUUCGAAAAACACAUAGAUAGUAGCUGCCAAUUUGUUUCUUGUCUUGCCCGACUGACUGAUGAUUGUUCUAAAAUGACUGAUCAUCAUUGCCGAGGAAUUACUAUGUACUAAUAUGUGCUCCAAAUCGAUGUAUGAUCUAUAAUUAUAAGGUUGCAGCAGCAAGAUUGGAAAAUAGAUAAAUGAGGUGCUCUCUUUACUGAUCCUUCUUAUUUGGUAUUUGCAUGUAGUUAUGCCAACUAAAGAAAAACGUUUCCACGUGGUUGUUAGUAAUUGUAUAUGUAGAAAUCAGUACCAGGAAGUUGUGGUUCAGAUUGACAGCACAUUAUUUGGUACACAUCUCUUGUGAUUCAUUCUGCUCAUCUUCGAUAGAAAGUGUCUUUAUUUAAUGUCCAACUAAACCAUAGGAAACAAUUACUAGUUGUUCGUUUUAUGAAUGCCUCAUUGACACCCAGGUAAUAUGUGUUUUCCUUCUGAAAUUCAUGUUUUUAAAGGAAAAAACUUAAUGUGUGCUGGCCUUCUAAUGAAUUGCUUGUAGGAGGUCCCUGGAAUGGGUUUUCACAUCAGUUGCAACCUCACCGAAGCAAAACCAAAGCAUGUUGUUCUGUUAGAGAACAAAUUUAAUUUUGGAGUUCAGAAACCAAAGCAUGCAACCUCCUUGAAGCGAGACCAAAUCAUAUCAAACAUUACAUCAAUGUGGUCUUUACAGUUUUGUCAUUUCUUGUAUAUAUUCCUUAAACAGGGAAACCAGUAUAGGACAAACAAAAUACAUUUGAUGUAUGACGAGAUAUGCCACUCCUUUACUUAAUGCAUAUUUAAGUAAGUGCUUCUCAGUUUCUCAAAGUUUGGAAUAUGUAGGCUGUGUUGAAAGAUGAAGCAAAUGUUGAACCCAAUGUUCAGGCCUCUGUUCUUGAACAUUUUGAAAAUAUGAAAUGUUCUCCCUUUUCCUGUUUUUGUUUAAAACUUCAGAUGUUGUUCCUUCUCCUGUUAGCAUGUGCCCUUGCUGGUGUGAAUGGUUUAAUAAUGUCUUAUUGCCAAUUUCUUUAGUCUGGCGAACUUCCUUUGUUAAUGGAGAUGGCUUAUAUUCAGUUUGAGGCAAGAAAUUUGAUUUGAAAGAGUAGUCAACCAACAGCCAGUAAAUCAGAGCCCAAAAUUCCAUUAAUUUGAAUCAAGGUAAAAUAUCAGGAGAAGUAAUUUGCGACAACGAUGGUAUACGAGAAACUGAAAGGUCUCAAAUUGUUCUGCAAGUAGAUUACUCUGGAUUUUGAAGAAUGUUAAGUAGAAAUUAUACUUACAGUGUCCAGCCGAACUUCGUGAAACCAUUACAAGUUCAUCUUCUGAACUUCUUCUGGGAUCUGGAUCCGUACUGUGUACUAUUUAGGUUAGGAGCAGACCAGAGCUCCGUUUCACUUCUCAACAGAGUUUCAGUUAUGCGGUCCACUUGAACCUGUCGGGGGAAAGUUACCGCAUCCAUCUCCGAGAAGUAGGCAAGUUCGUUGUGUAAGCCAGGAGUGUAUGCGGUUGCACACGGAGGUGAUCUAUUUAGUUUUAACAGAGUGCAAUGUAUUUUUUUAAAAAAUUGUUGUGUUUUAAUUCAAAUAGGCUUAGCACUGCAAACCACUUCUGAACACCUUGGUCCUGAUGUGUACAUGAAUUGGUAUAGCUGACGCAGUCUAUUUAAUAUACCAUAAGUUUGCAUUCUGUUUGCAGAAAUUCAGUUAUGUUUUACCUACAAUAGGCUCAGCAUUACAGAACACUUGAUUCUGAACACCCUUAUCUUGAUAUGUAUAUGAAUUGGUAAUAGCCGAUGAGAGAACAAUAGCUGAUGCAGUCUAUGUUAUGUACUUUAAGUUUCCUCUGCAUUUAAAAAAAAUAGCUGUGUUUUACUUCCAGUAUGCUCAGCAUCACAUAACACUUGAACCUGAAUGUCCCGGUCUCCAUGUGUACAUGAAUUGGUAUGUUGAUGCAGUCUAACUAUAUUUCUGUACUUUUUACUAGACUCCAGCAGCGAUGGUUCCGGUGAAGAUUUCGGGAACUUCUGUGGUGGUGGUGACAAUGCCUACUCAGAGGACGAAGAUACACCAGACACCAUCCUUCGAUUCCCAUAACGAAUGUUUGUAGCAGCAGUGAUACGUAUGAAGAUUAUUUUCAUACAUAUUUUCAGGCCACACAAGUCUCAGGCUCUAGUUAUUUUUGGCACCAUGUAAACAAGAAUGUACACUUGUCAAAAAAUAAAAUAGUAUACAACAUUUUUUGUAGUUCAGAUGGGUGGUUGUUGUAUAGUUUAUGUGCAUGCUUGUGAUGCUCCAAUGUAAAAUACAGCAAUGUUCUUGCAUGGAAGCAUCAAAAGAAAUGUGUUCAGAGA
Triticum dicoccoides is the source of this 2953-nucleotide long non-coding RNA. RefSeq lists it as uncharacterized. The transcript is spliced from 2 exons. The record is from RefSeq and is a predicted model, not a curated record. NCBI's taxonomy places the organism in Eukaryota, Viridiplantae, Streptophyta, Magnoliopsida, Poales, Poaceae.